Non-coding RNA from Trichechus manatus latirostris (Florida manatee), 3700 nucleotides. Lineage: Eukaryota; Metazoa; Chordata; Mammalia; Sirenia; Trichechidae. The record is from the annotation of a RefSeq genome assembly.
CUGAGCAUUGCAGGCUGGUCAGUGGAUGUGUCCCAAUAGGGGUUGGCGAAGAGGGGACAGGGGCUGGGGAACCUCAGGGAUUGGGGAGCCCCAAUGGUUUUUCUGAUAACUUUCUGAACUUCAUUCAAUGCCAGGGUGUCUGAUGGACAGUCUGAGCUCCUGAAAGGGAGACCCUGGGCUGGGGGUUUGAAGAGUUUGGCUAGAAGGGACUGGGGACUCCUUUUGCCUAGAGGACAAUUUGAGCUAAAGUAGAUCUUUAGUUGUUGGAAUCAUAGUGUUUGUGGAAUAGUUUGAGGCUAGCACUGUGUCUAUAGAACCACAGGGAUGCUACACAUGGAGUGCCAAAUAGAAUACUGUCUUUAGAAUUAUGAGGUAUGUUCUGUGCUAGAUCUGGACUUCAAAUUCUGUAUUGGCUGGAAAAACUAUUGCUCUGGUGAGUGAAUCCAUGAAGGAGUGGUGCAGUUGUUGUCUUGAUGGCCUUCCAAAGUCUUCUAGGGACCAUACGCCCAGUCCUCCUGAAUAUGACUUUCUUAGGGAUCUUUGUUUGUGAGGACAGUUUCUAUGAGAAAAUGAUUUAUUCAUUGUAAGAGGUAUAUUUACUAAAUAUUAAAAGAGAGGGUACACUUGAAGUGGUUCCCGAGGAAAACAGUCAAGAAAAGAGUUACUUAAAAUUUUGAGAGAUUAUCAAGUAUGUUAGAUUAAAAAAUGGCAAAGUAUUUAAAAAUCUUAUCACUCAAUUAACAGCCAAGAGCCAUGUCUUUCUGGAAUUGAUGGGGGCUGCUAAUUUAGACAAGAAAUAGCAAAAUGUGGUACAGUUGUUUCCCCCAAUUCAAAACGGAGUUUUGACACUAAUAAAUCAAACUUGUUUUUAAAAAUUAAUUGAACAACGUGACUUGAGUUGGAGUCAAGAUGGCUGCAGAGGGGUCUCGGACACCUGCAGCAGGUGGCAGGAAGUAGGUCACACAGGGAAUCUAUUUUAGGAAACAAGAAAACAUGGUUGGUAAAUUUAUAGUUCAUGGUUAUGAACAAGUGGUUUUCAGAUGGUUUUGCCCAGACCCACAUAUCUGGAAGUGUCCCACUGUGAAAAACAACACCUGGGAAAUUUGCAUUUCUAAAAUAAGGCUCAGAUGCUGACUGGAGAGAUGAAACUGGAGAGUUCCUUUUUUAACUAGCUGAAUUUAAUUUUUCAGUCUUAGCUUACCAACUUCUAAUUUGUAUUCAUUUUUCAAAGCAAAGUGUUUAAGAAAUGAAACAGUCAGAUAUGGUUUAUGAAUGCAUUAAUGUAACUUUUUAUUACUCUGUUGUUCUUUCAUAUAAUUAAUCUCAGACCAUUUUCCAGCGCCUCAAAGUACUGGUUUUACAAUGAUUGUGCUCACGAUUACUUUUUUUAAGUUGGCCGAUAUUCUCUUUGUAAAUAAGAAAUAGUUUGAUAUUCUGAUAAAGUUACCUUCAUUUCAGUAUUUUAAAAUUAUUUUAUUGUUGUAAAAAGAUAGAUGACACAACAUUUGCCAGUUCAACAUUUUUCACAUGUACAAUUCAGGAAGACCAAUUACAUCAUUCAUGUUGUGCAUCCAUCACCAAUACAUUUCAAUAUUUUUGAAGACCACUCUUUAAGUAUUAAUUUCAGGAUUAAAAUUUUAAAUUCAAGAUAUAUAUAUUUUUUAACUUUAGGGUAAGUUAUAGGUGAAGUAUAUAUAUUUGUGCUGAAUUAUUUCAGUUAAGUGUGUUGGCUGGUGAAUUAGAGAGAAAUGAGUCAGAUAGCACAUCAGAAAGGAACUUUGGAACAAAAGACUUCUGAAGUGCAGGUUCUGUUUUUGAUCACUGGCCUGGUUCCUGAGUUGAAGAACAGUCCUCGGAGAGGGGCUCUGUGUGGGUCCACCACGGCCUGGCCUUGGCUGUGUAGUCUCCUAGGACCAUCUGGGGCUGGGAACAUGCAAUCCUGGCUUUUGCCACCAAUGGCCAAGCUGGCUAUUCAUGAACUAGCAGUUUUUUUAAUGGAUUUGGAGGGAUUUUUCAAUGCCAAAGAGCUUCAAGGGACUUGCGAGUGACCAGACGACAGAGAAGAGAGCCAAUCUUCUCCAAGUCUCUUCCCCCUCAUCUCCUGUGAGAGCUCCGACCAGAGCCAGGUGGCCUUUGGCUGCCUCGCUCGUGACUUUCUGCCUGGCUCCAUCACAUUUUCCUGGGACUAUCAGAACAACAGCGCUAUCAACACCGAGAAAUUCGAGACCUUCCCAUCUGUCCUAUUGGAGGGCAAGUAUAUGGCCAGCUCUCAGGUACUCUUACCUUCCGUCGAGGUCCACCAGAGCACCGAUGAGUACCUGGUGUGCAAAGUCCAACACCCCAACCAAAACAAGGACCUGAGAGUGCCCUUUCCAGUAGAUAACCCGACAGAGCUGCCCCCCAAUGUGAGUGUGUACAUCCCAUACCAAGAUGCCUUCUCCGGCACUGGUCAGCGCACCUCCAAGCUCAUCUGCCAGGCCACAGGCUUCCGUCCCAAGGAGAUCUCACUGUUUUGGCUGCGUGAUGGGAAGUCGGUGGAGUCUGGCAUCAUCACAGGAGAAGUUGAGCCUGAGCUCAAAGGGUCUGGGCCACAAACCUUCCAGAUCAACAGCAUGUUGACCAUCAGCGAGAUCGACUGGAUCAACCAGAAAGUGUUUACCUGCCUUGUGAGGCACAACGGGCUAGACUUCAUGAAGAACGUGUCCUCUGUGUGUAGAUUGCCAGCCCCGCUAAUAACCAUCAGUAUCUUCGCCAUCCCCCCAUCCUUUGCUGACAUCUUCCUCACAAAAUCGGCCAAGCUAUCCUGCCUGGUCACAGACCUGACCACCUACGACAGUCUGCACAUCUCUUGGGCCCGCCAGAAUGGCGAGGUUCUGAAUACCCACAUAAACAUCUCUGAGAGCCACCCCAAUGAAACCUUCAGUGCCACGGGAGAAACCACCGUCUGCAUGGAAGACUGGGAGUCAGGGGAAACGUUCACAUGCACCGUCACCCACGCUGACCUCCCUUCGCCGCUGAAACAGACCAUGUCUAAGCCAAAGGAGGUGGCCAAGCAUGCACCAGCCGUCUACCUGAUGCCACCCACCCGGGAGCAGCUGAGUCUGCGUGAGUCAGCCUCUAUCACCUGCCUCGUAAAGGGUUUCUCACCCCCUGAUGUGUUUGUGCAGUGGCUGCACAAGGGACAGCCUGUGGCCUCCAACAAUUAUGUCACCAGCACCCCGAUGCCCGAGCCUCAGGCCCAGGGCUUCUACUUCACCUACAGCAUCCUGAACGUGUCUGAGGAAGACUGGAGCGCCGGGGACACAUUCACCUGCAUCGUGGUCCACGAGGCCCUGUCCCACCAGGUGACCGAGAGGACCGUGGACAAGUCCACUGAGGGGGAAGUGAAUGCUGAGGAGGAAGGCUUCGAGAACCUAUGGGCCAUGGCCUCCACCUUCAUUGUCCUUUUCCUCCUGAGCCUCUUCUACAGCACCACAGUCACUCUGUUCAAGGUGAAGUGACCCAUUGUGGGAAAAAUGUCUGAGAUCCGAGAUGGGACCAGAGGGAGUGCCACCUACGAGCCUUGGGCCCCCCCGGCCUGCGUUCCCUGAUCAUUUAUGCUGCACCCUUUAUGUCUUCCUUGGCUUUGAGCUCUAAGAAACAGGUUUCUUUCUAGACAUGUGUGCAGAACCCCGGGGCUUCAGACUCUAUCCCAAGUGCU